Molecule: non-coding RNA, 30 nt
Filed under: Mus musculus (house mouse)
Lineage: Eukaryota; Metazoa; Chordata; Mammalia; Rodentia; Muridae
Source: RNAcentral
UUCUGACUCGUCUGCCCGGCUACCGCGAUA